CACGUAGGCACCAAGCGUUGUCCGGAUUUAUUGGGCGUAAAGAGCUCGUAGGUGGUUCGGUAAGUCGGAUGUGAAAUCUCCAGGCUCAACCUGGAGGGGUCAUUCGAUACUGCCGUGACUAGAGGUCGGUAGGGGAGUGUGGAAUUCCUGGUGGAGCGGUGAAAUGCGCAGAUAUCAGGAGGAACACCCGUAGCGAAGGCGGCACUCUGGGCCGAUACUGACACUGAGGAGCGAAAGCGUGGGGAGCGAACAGG
RNAcentral lists this ribosomal RNA (254 nucleotides) under uncultured bacterium. RNAcentral's name for it is "partial 16S ribosomal RNA". It matches the Rfam family "Bacterial small subunit ribosomal RNA", at positions 524 to 776 of the family's 1533-position model. The record is from RNAcentral.